Molecule: ribosomal RNA, 173 nt
Filed under: Nostoc sp. 3335mG
Lineage: Bacteria; Bacillati; Cyanobacteriota; Cyanophyceae; Nostocales; Nostocaceae
Description: partial 23S ribosomal RNA
Rfam family: Bacterial large subunit ribosomal RNA
Source: RNAcentral
CGCAGCAGGGUAGCUAUGCAUGGACGGGAUAACCGCUGAAAGCAUCUAAGCGGGAAGCCUCCCUCAAGAUAAGAUUUCUUUAGAGCGGUCGAAGACCACGACCUCGAUAGGCCGGAUGUGGAAGCGCGGUAACGCGUGGAGCUAACCGGUCCUAAUUGCUCUAUUCGCGCUUG